RNAcentral lists this ribosomal RNA (857 nucleotides) under uncultured bacterium. RNAcentral describes it as "bacterial SSU rRNA". It matches the Rfam family "Bacterial small subunit ribosomal RNA", at positions 28 to 898 of the family's 1533-position model. The record is from RNAcentral.
GACGAACGCUGGCGGCGUGCUUAACACAUGCAAGUCGAACGGUAAGGCCCUUUCGGGGGUACACGAGUGGCGAACGGGUGAGUAACACGUGGGUGACCUGCCUCAAGCUCUGGGAUAAGCCUGGGAAACUGGGUCUAAUACCGGAUAUUCAUGCUUCGCGGCAUCGUGGGGUGUGGAAAGUUUUUCGGCCUGGGAUGGGCUCGCGGCCUAUCAGCUUGUUGGUGGGGUGAUGGCCUACCAAGGCGACGACGGGUAGCCGGCCUGAGAGGGCGACCGGCCACACUGGGACUGAGACACGGCCCAGACUCCUACGGGAGGCAGCAGUGGGGAAUAUUGCACAAUGGGCGGAAGCCUGAUGCAGCGACGCCGCGUGAGGGAUGAAGGCCUUCGGGUUGUAAACCUCUUUCGACAGGGACGAAGCGCAAGUGACGGUACCUGGAGAAGAAGCGCCGGCCAACUACGUGCCAGCAGCCGCGGUAAGACGUAGGGCGCGAGCGUUGUCCGGAUUUAUUGGGCGUAAAGAGCUCGUAGGCGGCUUGUUGCGUCAGCUGUGAAAACCCGCAGCUCAACUGUGGGCUUGCAGCUGAUACGGGCAGGCUUGAGUUCUGUAGGGGAGACUGGAAUUCCUGGUGUAGCGGUGAAAUGCGCAGAUAUCAGGAGGAACACCGGUGGCGAAGGCGGGUCUCUGGGCCGAUACUGACGCUGAGGAGCGAAAGCGUGGGGAGCGAACAGGAUUAGAUACCCUGGUAGUCCACGCUGUAAACGUUGGGCGCUAGGUGUGGGGGGCCUCUCCGGUUCUCUGUGCCGCAGCUAACGCAUUAAGCGCCCCGCCUGGGGAGUACGGCCGCAAGGCUAAA